UUACUUUCUCUGUAGCUCUUGAAGAAACCUCCGGGUAUGAAAGGAGGAAAAUUUCUCACUGGAAAAAUCAUAAAAUCUCAUCAACAACAGUGAAAAAGCUAAGCCCUCCGCUAAUCUCUCAAAUUUUGAUUUCAGAUCCAACAAGAUCCGCGAAGACAUAUUAUUGAUGGAAAACAUAGUAAUGUUACUUUCGAUAAAUUCCCUUAUUAUCUCAGCUGAAUUUUCUGAAUAUAUCCAAGUAGGGGGUGGCAGGAAUGGUGGUGGUAGUAAGAACAAGGAAUUUGCGACCUAUGGUCAUAACAGAUGGAAGCAUUGUGGAUAUCGUUCCGUCGUCAGAUGCCCGCAGAACUCAUGUUAUGUCUCAGAUAAAUGCACAGUUUAUUUAUAAGAAUGAAAGACUCACAAAAUUUGUGGACAUAAAUAUCUACUGCAGAAUUUGUUCUAUCUAGUAGUCUCCGGACUGCAUCAACAUUCUCCCUCAUUUCUUUGCAAAAGAGACUCAUUUUGAUAGUGCACUUAACAAUAUGGGGGAAUUUAUUUCACUCUCAUCAUUCCUGCAAAAGUUGCACAAUGACGUCCUUGGAAAAUGGAGAUCCAUAGUUUCUAAUGUCGGUCUUUCAGUAGUUCUGAUACUCGGUACUUAUACAAAAUAUUAGAAUUGCAAAGAAGAAGAAAACCAGAAACAUCAACAUAAAUCGUUGGAUGGAGUUGAUUUUCGCAUCUCAAAAGGGAUGAUAUCUCUGUAUCUUACUUUUUCAUUCAUGAGAGAGUACAAUAUCUGUAAACAAUCCCAAUUAAUA
This is a long non-coding RNA of Papaver somniferum (opium poppy), 800 nucleotides long. RefSeq lists it as uncharacterized. Lineage: Eukaryota; Viridiplantae; Streptophyta; Magnoliopsida; Ranunculales; Papaveraceae. The transcript has 3 exons. The record is from RefSeq and is a predicted model, not a curated record.